AGUGAAAGAGAACCUGAAACCCUAUGUUUACAAGCAGAUAAAGCGAAUUAAGGCGCGAUAUCGUACUUUUUGUAGAACGGUCCAGCGAGUUAUUGUAUAUGGCGAGGUUAAGUUGUAAGUAAGCAACGAAGCCGGAGUGAAAGCGAGUCUGAAGAGGGCGUAAAAGUCAUAUGUAAUAGACCCGAAACCGGGUGACCUAUCCAUGGUCAGGAUGAAGCUAAAGUAAAAUUUAGUGGAGGUCCGAACUGAUUGUCGUUAAAAAGGCACCGGAUGAACUGUGGAUAGCGGAGAAAUUCCAAUCGAACUCGGAGAUAGCUGGUUCUCCUCGAAAUAGCUUUAGGGCUAGCCUUGAGGGAAGAUAUGUGGGGGUAGAGCACUGAAUGAGGUAGGGGCCUAACCAGGUUACUGAACUCUAUCAAACUGCGAAUACCAUGUAUUAAUACUCAGGAGUCAGACUACGGGAGCUAAGUUCCGUGGUCAAAAGGGAAAGAGCCCAGACCGACAAUUAAGGUCCCAAAGAUAUAGUUAAGUGGGAAACGAUGUGAAUUUGCGUAAACAACCAGGAUGUUGGCUCAGAAGCAGCCAUUCAUUCAAAGAGUGCGUAACAGCUCACUGGUCGAGUGAAUUUGCGCGGAAAAUUACCGGGGCUAAACUAUACACCGAAAUUACGGAUUUGUAAAUGAAAAUUUAUAAGUGGUAGAGGAGCAUUCUGUGGUAGGGCGAAGCUAAAGCGAGAGCAUUAGUGGACGAAGCAGAAGAGAGAAUGCUGGAAUAAGUAGCGAGAGCGAGGUGAGAAUCCUUGCCGUCGAAAGUCUAAGGUUUCCUGGGGAAGGUUCGUCCGCCCAGGGUAAGUCGGGACCUAAGGAGAGGCCGAAAGGCGUAUCUGAUGGAUAGCAGGUGGAAAUUCCUGCACUAUAGCCAUACUUAAAAGAUGCAAGGGACGCAGGAGAGGAAGAUAACCGAGGAAGAGGAAAAACUCGGAUCGAAAGAUGGAGUGAAAAUAGAAGUAACGAAGUAUCAAGAAUCACACUGACGAGAAAAGCUUGUAGAGAUUGUAUGGAAAUACCCGUACCGCAAACCGACACAGGUAGAUGAGGAGAGGAUCCUAAGACGAACGGGAGAAGCAUUGUUAAGGAACUCGGCAAAAUAACCCCGUAACUUCGGGAGAAGGGGAGCCUAUGUAAAAGUAGGCCGCAGUGAAAAGGCCCAAGCAACUGUUUAACAAAAACACAGGUUUCUGCUAAAUCGAAAGAUGAAGUAUAGGAGCUGACGCCUGCCCAGUGCUGGAAGGUUAAGGGGAAAUGUUAGGAGCAAUCCGAAGCAUAGAACUGAAGCCCCAGUGAACGGCGGCCGUAACUAUAACGGUCCUAAGGUAGCGAAAUUCCUUGUCAGGUAAGUUCUGACCCGCACGAAAGGCGUAAUGAUUUGGGCACUGUCUCGACAAUGUACCCGGCGAAAUUGUAGUACUAGUGAAGAUGCUAGUUACCUGCGACAAGACAGAAAGACCCCAUGGAGCUUUACUGCAGUUUGAUACUGGGUUUUGAUAAACUAUGUACAGGAUAGGUGGGAGACUAAGAAAGCAAGGCGUCAGCUUUGCUGGAGUCACCGUUGGGAUACCACUCUUAGUUUGUUGAAAUUCUAACUAGUGGUCAUGACCUGGCCAGAGGACAAUGUCAGACGGGCAGUUUGACUGGGGCGGUCGCCUCCAAAAGAGUAACGGAGGCGCCCAAAGGUUUCCUCAGCACGGACGGAAAUCGCGCGAAAGAGUGUAAAGGCAGAAGGAAGCUUAACUGGAAGACAGACAUGUCGAGCAGAUACGAAAGUAGGGCUUAGUGAUCCGGUGGAAUUGAAUGGAAAAGCCAUCGCUCAACGGACAAAAGUUACCCUGGGGAUAACAGGCUUAUCUCCCCCAAGAGUUCACAUCGACGGGGAGGUUUGGCACCUCGAUGUCGGCUCAUCGCAUCCUGGAGCGGAAGUACGUUCCAAGGGUUGGGCUGUUCGCCCAUUAAAGCGGUACGCGAGCUGGGUUCAGAACGUCGUGAGACAGUUCGGUCCUUAUCUGUCGCAGGCGCAAGAUAUUUGAAGGGAGCUGUCCUUAGUACGAGAGGACCAGGAUGGACAUAUAGAGGGUGAAUCAGUUGUUACACCAGUAGCAUAGCUGAGAAGCCAAGUAUGGAAGGGAUAAACGCUGAAAGCAUCUAAGUGUGAAGCCCACCCUAAGAUAAGAUAUCUCAUACCGUCAAGGUAGU
RNAcentral lists this ribosomal RNA (2249 nucleotides) under human gut metagenome. Its description in RNAcentral is "bacterial LSU rRNA". It matches the Rfam family "Bacterial large subunit ribosomal RNA", at positions 537 to 2829 of the family's 2925-position model. The record is from RNAcentral.